Molecule: ribosomal RNA, 372 nt
Filed under: uncultured organism
Description: bacterial SSU rRNA
Rfam family: Bacterial small subunit ribosomal RNA
Source: RNAcentral
CGUAGGGGGCAAGCGUUGUCCGGAAUCAUUGGGCGUAAAGAGCGUGUAGGCGGUUCAAUAAGUCUGUUGUGAAAGUCCAAGGCUCAACCUUGGGAUGCCGAUGGAUACUGUUGAACUCGAGUCCGGAAGAGGAGUGUGGAAUUCCUGGUGUAGCGGUGAAAUGCGCAGAUAUCAGGAGGAACACCGAUGGCGAAGGCAGCACUCUGGGACGUGACUGACGCUGAGACGCGAAAGCGUGGGGAGCAAACAGGAUUAGAUACCCUGGUAGUCCACGCCGUAAACGAUGGGCACUAGGUGUGGGAGGUGUCGACUCCUCCCGUGCCGAAGCUAACGCAUUAAGUGCCCCGCCUGGGGAGUACGGCCGCAAGGCUA